GUAGGUGGCAAGCGUUGUCCGGAAUUAUUGGGCGUAAAGCGCGCGCAGGUGGUUCUUUAAGUCUGAUGUGAAAGCCCCCGGCUCAACCGGGGAGGGUCAUUGGAAACUGGGGAACUUGAGUGCAGGAGAGGAAAGUGGAAUUCCACGUGUAGCGGUGAAAUGCGUAGAUAUGUGGAGGAACACCAGUGGCGAAGGCGACUUUCUGGCCUGUAACUGACACUGAGGCGCGAAAGCGAGGGGAGCAAACAGGGAUUAGAUACCCUGGUAGUCCACGCCGUAAACGAUGAGUGCUAAGUGUUGGGGGGGUUUCCCGCCCCUCAGUGCUGCAGCUAACGCAUUAAGCACUCCGCCUGGGGAUACGGUCGCAAGACUG
RNAcentral lists this ribosomal RNA (373 nucleotides) under uncultured organism. Its description in RNAcentral is "partial 16S ribosomal RNA". It matches the Rfam family "Bacterial small subunit ribosomal RNA", at positions 527 to 896 of the family's 1533-position model. The record is from RNAcentral.